Molecule: ribosomal RNA, 366 nt
Filed under: Triticum aestivum (bread wheat)
Lineage: Eukaryota; Viridiplantae; Streptophyta; Magnoliopsida; Poales; Poaceae
Description: partial small subunit ribosomal RNA
Source: RNAcentral
AUGUGUUUGUUUCGUGGCCGCACCCAGCCAGACAGGUUUGUUUGUGUGUCUCUUACCAUGCCUUAUCUUAUCUCUGCUGGUUGGUUUAGAGACGUUCAGUACAACACACUACGCAGCACGCGUCCUGCCUGUAGUACCAGCGCUGCUUGGAGUGAAGCUGGGUUAUUAAAAUUCGUCUGUGAAGGUCUCGUGGCGAUCGACGUGCCGGCGACAGAGACCAUUGCUAGCACGGCGGCCGGGGCGGCGAGGCUCCCUGAGCGCAUGUCCAUCGCUUCGCUCUUAGAUGUCGUCUCUGACCACCUGCUCAAGCUCAACAACAACCUCAAAUCGAUGAGCGCCUUCCCAAGGUCACAUUCUCUUUGCUAA